This 478-nucleotide ribosomal RNA is filed under the name uncultured bacterium. RNAcentral describes it as "partial 16S ribosomal RNA". It matches the Rfam family "Bacterial small subunit ribosomal RNA", at positions 28 to 523 of the family's 1533-position model. The record is from RNAcentral.
GACGAACGCUGGCGGCGUGCUUAACACAUGCAAGUCGAACGGUAAGGCCCUUCGGGGUACACGAGUGGCGAACGGGUGAGUAACACGUGGGUGAUCUGCCCUGCACUUCGGGAUAAGCCUGGGAAACUGGGUCUAAUACCGGAUAGGACUCCUGGCUUCAUGGUUGGGGGUGGAAAGCUUUUGCGGUGUGGGAUGGGCCCGCAGCCUAUCAGCUUGUUGGUGGGGUAAUGGCCUACCAAGGCGACGACGGGUAGCCGGCCUGGGAGGGUGACCGGUCACACUGGGACUGGGAUCCGGCCCAGACUCCUACGGGAGGCAGCAGUGGGGAAUAUUGCACAAUGGGCGCAAGCCUGAUGCAGCGACGCCGCGUGAGGGAUGACGGCCUUCGGGUUGUAAACCUCUUUCAGCUAUGACGAAGCGCAAGUGACGGUAGUAGCAGAAGAAGGACCGGCCAACUACGUGCCAGCCGCCGCCGUAA